AAGGUCGCGCCUUCCCCUGAGCCGUAGAAAUGGGGCUUCGGUGACGUCACAGGCGCGGGUGUUCGGCAACGUAGCCGGGGCGGUAUAGUGCCUCGAGCUGGGCAGUCUUCUCCUUAGAGGGGACCCUGGUAACAGCGACCUCCCCGCCAGGUCCUGUGUGUUGCUGGCUGGAGAAGGGUAGCUGAAAAACUCAGACCGAGCACAGUGUUUAUGUCAGUCAAAAAUAGAAAACUAUCUGCGGGCGCGGCUGAGGCGGGAGGAUCCCUUCAGGCCAAGAGCAGCCUAGCAGUGUGGCGCGACCCCAUCUCUGUAGUCCUACCUCAGUCCCCCAGCUACUUGAACCCCAAGGUUCAAGGCUCCAAUGAGCUAUGAUCCCACCACAGCAUUCCAGCCUGCGAGACUGAGAUGAUGAUUAUUCCCCACCUUCUAAGAGACCAAAGACCAAUGAGACACCACAGCCACCAGUCCCGUAACCUGCCAAUGCUGGGCAACAGAAAGUGAGGGAGUUCAACUCUGGCCCUCACAUUCCAGUGGAGGAGACGAAACUCAUCUGCCUCUGUCCCUCUGGGCGCACCUCAUGCCAGGUGCAUCUGUGGACCUGGGCCAUGCUCCUGGGCUUCCAAAGUUGGAGAAAGCUGUCAGGCUCAGUUCUGAAGGCCAGAAUUCUACAGUAAGUCCCACUGAGUCAAGGUGGGAGCAGGGUCGAUGCCUUCCGAGGCUCUGCAGGAGAAUCCAUUUCCUGGCCCUGGAGCUAGCAUGCACUCCUCAGCUUGUGCUUCCUGUCUCAAAUGACUGGAGUUUCCCACUAUACCUCCCUCCGCUCUCCAUCACCUGCUCUGCUCUUAUAAGG
This is a long non-coding RNA of Cercocebus atys (sooty mangabey), 850 nucleotides long. RefSeq lists it as uncharacterized. Lineage: Eukaryota; Metazoa; Chordata; Mammalia; Primates; Cercopithecidae. The transcript has 4 exons. The record is from RefSeq and is a predicted model, not a curated record.